RNAcentral lists this ribosomal RNA (556 nucleotides) under uncultured archaeon. Its description in RNAcentral is "bacterial SSU rRNA". It matches the Rfam family "Archaeal small subunit ribosomal RNA", at positions 36 to 589 of the family's 1478-position model. The record is from RNAcentral.
GGGUUCGACUAAGCCAUGCAAGUCAUAUGUUCCUCGUGAACAUGGCAUACUGCUCAGUAACACGUGGAUAACCUGCCCUUGGGUCUGGGAUAACCCCGUGGAAACUGGGGGAUAAUAUCGGAUAACGCAUAUGUGCUGGAAUGCUUUAUGCGUAAAACGGAUUCGUCCGCCCAAGGAUGGGUCUGCGGCCUAUCAGGUAGUAGUGGGUGUAAUGUACCUACUAGCCAACAACGGGUACGGGUUGUGAGAGCAAGAGCCCGGAGAUGGAUUCUGAGACAUGAAUCCAGGCCCUACGGGGCGCAGCAGGCGCGAAAACUUUACAAUGCGGGAAACCGUGAUAAGGGAACACCGAGUGCCAGCAUCAUAUGCUGGCUGUCCAGAUGUGUAAACUACAUCUGUUAGCAAGGGCCGGGCAAGACCGGUGCCAGCCGCCGCGGUAACACCGGCGGCCCGAGUGGUGACCGUUAUUAUUGGGUCUAAAGGGUCCGUAGCCGGUUUGGUCAGUCCUCCGGGAAAUCUGAUAUCUUAACUGUUAUGCUUUCGGGGGAUACUGCCA